UGAUUUAAUUUAACGGCUGCGGUAUCCUGACCGUGCAAAGGUAGCAUAAUCAAUUGUCCCUUAAAUUAGGACUAGUAUGAAUGGCACCACGAGGGUUUAACGUCUCCCCCUUUUAAUCAAUGAAAUUAAUUUUCCCGUGAAGAAGCGGGAAUAAAGAUAUAAGACGAGAAGACCCCAUGGAGCUUCAAACUUAUCAACACUUAUUAAUUAUCGUAACAUAUUAAUUAAAUAUACUGCAUUUUAUAGUUUUCGGUUGGGGAAACCCUGGAGAAAAAUUUAUCCUCCAGAUUGAAAGAACUAAUAAUUCUUAUACUAGAAUUACGAUUCAAAUAAACAAAAACUUGACAAAACUGACCCAGUAAUUUACUGAUCAACGAACCAAGUUACCCUGGGGAUAACAGCGCAAUCCAUUUCAAGAGUCCUUAUCGACAAAUGGGUUUACGACCUCGAUGUUGGAUCGGGGCACCCUAGCGGCGCAGCCGUUGCUAAUGGUUCGUUUGUUCAACGAUUAAAACCCCACGUGAUCUGANUNNAAACC
Molecule: ribosomal RNA, 538 nt
Filed under: Hyperolius tuberilinguis (tinker reed frog)
Lineage: Eukaryota; Metazoa; Chordata; Amphibia; Anura; Hyperoliidae
Description: partial 16S ribosomal RNA
Rfam family: Bacterial large subunit ribosomal RNA
Source: RNAcentral